This 799-nucleotide long non-coding RNA is filed under the name Cricetulus griseus (Chinese hamster). Its description in RNAcentral is "lncRNA (ENSCGRG00015032092.1)". The record is from RNAcentral. Lineage: Eukaryota; Metazoa; Chordata; Mammalia; Rodentia; Cricetidae.
CCUGCAAGAUGUAGCUCUCUCAGCUUCAGCUCCAUGUCUGCCUUCACACUACCAUGCUCCCUGUCAAGCUAGCAAUGGUCUGAACCUCUGAGACUGCAAACUGAGGACAAGAAACAUACUAGCAGUCGGGAGGCAGAGGCUGGCGGAUCUCUGAGUUCGAGGCUACCUUGGUCUACAGAGUGAAUUCUAGGACAGCCUCGGCUACACAGAAAAACCCUGUCUCAAAGUAAUAAUAAUAAUAAUAAAAAGAAGUUAAGAAAUUUUCUUUUUUUUCCUAGUCUUUCAUUUUAUAAACAGUUCAGUUCCAAAGGGUGCGACCUGAACCAAAUUGGAGUCGCUCAAUGCACAGUUCCGACAACUUUAAUCCAACAACCGAUUCUUGCAGAAAACGAACGGGUGGAGUCCAACAAUUCUUUAUACUUCUCCAAACCGAGUAUCUAACAAAUACAGAUGGGAAGAGAGCUGGUCAUGGUGGCGCACACUGUAAUCUCGCACUUGGGAGGCCGAGGCAGGAGACUCUCCCUGAGUUUGAUGCUAGCCUGGGCUACAGAGCGAGACUCUGUCAAAACCAGGCAAACAACAACGAAACACACACACACACACACACACACACACACACACACACACACACAGAGAGCGAGACUCUGUGUUAAAACAAACCCAGGCAAACAACAACACACACACACACACAGAGCGAGACUCUGUGUUAAAACAAACCCAGGCAAACAACAACAACAACACACACACACACACACACACACACAGAGCGAGACUGUGUGUCCAACAACUAACACCCCCC